Phacochoerus africanus (Common warthog) is the source of this 1371-nucleotide long non-coding RNA. RefSeq lists it as uncharacterized. The transcript is spliced from 2 exons. The record is from RefSeq and is a predicted model, not a curated record. Lineage: Eukaryota; Metazoa; Chordata; Mammalia; Artiodactyla; Suidae.
CCCUAGAGGGUGAAGAGGUUAAGCUUUCGCUGCUAGAUCUCGGCUUGGAAACUGUCUUUUAAUCAUCUCCCAGAGAAAUGGAGGCAAGGAAGCCAGGCCAAUCCCCUCGCCUUCUCGCCACGUUAGCUUUGCGCUGUUAGCCCCCAAUUUCUGUUCACUGCCGACCUCAAAAGGAGGAAACGCUGGGUUUUAAACCAUUUGAGGCCAAGCGGAGGGCUGAGCCAGUGGUGACAAUAAACCCUUCGUCCUGCUAACAACGAAUCAAAGCAAGAGGGAGAAGGCUCAGGCAGGCUCAGGCCAGGCACCUCAGCCAGUUCUAUAGGCCUGACGUUCGGACCUGGUGUGACUAUCUUCUCUGCUCAAGGUCUCCCAGACUGAUUCCAGACAUCAACCAGCCUAUAUUCCUUUCUGAAGACUCUGAGGAGAAAAUCGUUCCAAGCUCAUUCAGGUUCUUGGCUGAAUUCACUUCCUUGUGGUUGUAGGACUGAAGUCUCCAUUUCCUUGCUAACUACCAGCCAAGGACCAACCUCAGCUGCUGGAAACUGCCUGCAUUCCUGACCACUUGGCCCCUCCAACUUCAAAGCCAGCAGUAGAGAUUUCCUGUGUGUCGAGUCCCUCUGAUACUUCAAUCUCCUCUUCAGGAAGACCCCAGUCCCUUUGAAGGAUUUGCUUGAUUAGGUGGGGUCCACCCAGAAUAGUCUCCCAUUUUUCAAGGAGAGGGUUUUGCCAUAUCUACAACCUAAUCACUGCCGUGACUGACCUGUCAUAUUCACAGGUUCCCAGCAUUGUACGGGAAUAUGUACAAUAGGAGGCAGGAAAUGGGGUAAUCCUAAACUUCCGCCUACCUCACAUGCUAAUAAUGCAAGCCAUGUAAGUGGCUUGUAACCCAAGCAAAUGCUUAAUAUUUAUUUUAGCCACCAUACUGUUCUGGAUGAGUGGCUCUAAAAGUAUGGGCUACAGACCCCUGGAGGUCUCUAAGACCUUUCAGGAUGCCCCUGAGGUCAAAACUACUUUCAGACUAAGACAGGAUUUGCUUUUCCACGCUCAUUCUCUUACAAGUGUUCAUCCUAGUUUCCCAGAAACUAUGUAACAUACCACAACGGAUUUAAUGCAGAUGCUGUGAGAACCCAGCUGUCCCCUAUUGCAGCACAUUAAAGAGAUGUGCAAAAAUGUAAAGCAAUGCCUUUAUAACUAUCUGUUUUGGAAACUUUUUCUGCCCUCUUGGCAUGAAGACAUUCCCAGGCCAGGCAUCGAACCUGAGCCACAGCAGUGAAAACAGCUCCUUAACCCACUGAGCCACAAGAAAACUCUGGAAACUCUUUUACUCUUCAUUUUAGAAACUAAAGUAAAUUAUGAAAUUAUGAUAUUUAA